RNAcentral lists this ribosomal RNA (450 nucleotides) under uncultured Glomeromycotina. RNAcentral's name for it is "SSU rRNA". It matches the Rfam family "Eukaryotic small subunit ribosomal RNA", at positions 569 to 1024 of the family's 1831-position model. Lineage: Eukaryota; Fungi; Glomeromycota. The record is from RNAcentral.
AGCAGCCGCGGUAAUUCCAGCUCCAAUAGCGUAUAUUAAAGUUGUUGCAGUUAAAAAGCUCGUAGUUGAAUUUCGAGACCGGUUUAUUGGUCGUGCUUUUGUACGUACUGGUAUUAUUGGUUUCUCCUUUCUGACGAAUCUUAAUGCCAUUAAUUUGGUGUUUUGGGGAGUCAGGACUGUUACUUUGAAAAAAUUAGAGUGUUUAAAGCAGGCUCACGCUUGAAUACAUUAGCAUGGAAUAACGGAAUAGGACGUUUGAUUCUAUUUUGUUGGCUUCUAGGAUCGACGUAAUGAUUAAUAGGGAUAGUUGGGGGCAUUAGUAUUCAAUUGUCAGAGGUGAAAUUCUUGGAUUUAUUGAAGACUAACUACCGCGAAAGCAUUUGCCAAGGAUGUUUUCAUUAAUCAAGAACGAAAGUUAGGGGAUCGAAGACGAUCAGAUACCGUCGUAGU